AGGCCGUAUACCCAAGAGUUCCAGGGGAAUGGUCGUCCACACUGGGGUAGUCGGUUCCUAAGCAUCGGCCGAAUAGCUGAGUGGAUGGACAACAGGUUGAGAUCCCUGUACUGUCGAUAACCGUUUUCGAGAAGGGGUGACACAGGAGUAUGAGCUAAUCAAACGGUUGGUUAUGUGUGCCCGAGCAGUGAGUCAGGCAAGGUAUGCAAUUCCGCUUUGAUGAUGCUGGGACGUGAUAGGUAUCGAAAUUUAGUAGCGAAGUAGCUGAUUUCACACUGUCAAGACCAGUCUCUAUCGAGGUUAAAGGUACCCGUACCGCAAACCGAC
RNAcentral lists this ribosomal RNA (327 nucleotides) under Clostridioides difficile. RNAcentral's name for it is "bacterial LSU rRNA". It matches the Rfam family "Bacterial large subunit ribosomal RNA", at positions 1336 to 1658 of the family's 2925-position model. The record is from RNAcentral. Lineage: Bacteria; Bacillati; Bacillota; Clostridia; Peptostreptococcales; Peptostreptococcaceae.